RNAcentral lists this long non-coding RNA (448 nucleotides) under Coffea arabica (coffee). Its description in RNAcentral is "long non-coding RNA (CARA_LNC003740)". Lineage: Eukaryota; Viridiplantae; Streptophyta; Magnoliopsida; Gentianales; Rubiaceae. The record is from RNAcentral.
AUGACCCAUUCCCGAAACCCAAACAAAAAUAAUCUCUUAACCCAAAUCAUUUACUUCACUAAAACCAACAUAAUUAAAUCAACAAACUCAUUAAACCACAAACAUGGCCUAAAAUCUAGAAUUAAUCCACCCAAAAGACAUAUUUGAAACAAUUAAAAGAUGAUUAAAUCUAAGGGAUGAAACAAAUUCAGCUUUUCCAUAUUUUGGGCCAUAUCAGAUGAUUAAAUCAUUUAAACUUCGAUUUUCAGAACUUCCCAGGCAAAGCAUCUGAAAAGCCUGCUUUCUUCUUCAUUUAUCCUACAACUUCAUUCUUCUAGUGUCAUGCCAAACGUAAGCAAUGAAGACCAAACAAACAGCAUUCUUUCACUCAAAACAAAUCAACUAUGCAUUCUAUCAUUAAGAUCCAAUACUAUACUCCGCAUUCCCAAUGAUUUUAGCAGCCUAGAUU